AAGAGAGGACCCUUCUCCGGGAAAAGAGAGAGUGCCAGCGCAACUAAGUCCCACCCAAACAGGCUACACCUAUUACCUCCCCCUGGACGUAAAACGGGGGUAGAUACAUCACACAAACUUAGUAUUGUUCGCCCAAGACUAUGGACAAGUUUCUCCAGCAAUUUCAUUGAAUAUAACACAUUUUGGAAACAAUGCGACCUGGAAGUGGAAUAGUUAUUGCUGCCUUGUUCAGCCUGGGCUGCAGCAUGACACUGACAGCGGACAAGAAAGGACAAUGAUCCAAAACACACUUCCAGGCUGUGUAAGGAGAGUGAUGGAGUGCUGCAUCAGAUGAACUGGCCUCCACAAUCACCCGACCUCAACCCAAUUGAGAUGGUUUGGGAUGAGUUGGACCGCAGAGUGAAGAAAAAGCAUCCAAAAAGUGCUCAACGUGUGGGAACUCCUUCAAAACUAUUGGAAAAGCAUUCCUCAUGAAGCUGGUUGAGAGAUUGCUAAGAGUGUACAAAGCUGUCAUCAAGGCAUAGGGUGGCUACUUUGAAGAACGUAAAAUAUAAAAUAUAUUUUGAUUUGUUUAACACUUUUUUUGGUUACUACAUGAUUCCAUAUGUGUUUUUCAUAGUUUUGAUGUCUUCACUAUAAUUCUACAAUGUAGAAAAUAGUAAAAAAUAAAGGAAAAAAAACUUGAAUGAGUAGGUGUGUCCAAACUUUUGACUGGUACUGUAUACACUUUUACAGUAUUUUGUGUAGAUCAAUGACCAAAAAUUACAAUUAAAUAUAUUUCAAUCCCACUUUUUAACGCACCAAAUGUUAAAACAGUUCAAGGGGGUGUAGAUAUUCUGUAGGCACUGUAUGUGAUGGGUCCCAUAGCACUUGGACAGAAGGAAACUUGCUCACUCUCGAAACUAUUCUAGUGUCUAAUUUGGCCUUUCAGAGUCAUCCAGCUGUACCCUGUAACAUAUCAUAUUUGGAAAUUGAAUAUAAACUUUAGUUCUAUAUUUCCAGCUAAGACAAAUGAACUGCAAUGCCUCAUACAGCAAACAUUGAACUUGCAAUGUCAGCUAAAUAAACUCAUACGGUGGGUGUACAGAAGAAAUAAAACGAUUGAGAUUGCAAAAUCUCUCUCACAUAGACCCCACCCAGUACAACACACACAGGAACUUCUUCCUAUGCAGUCUGGCAUGGCCUUGCAGUGGAGGCUUUCCAAGUCAAACAAUCAACUAAAACCUGUUCUUCAGAAACAAAGCAGGAGGAUCAUAGAGAGCUAAACCAGAGAGGAUAGCACGCUUUACAUCACUGGAAUCCAAGAAGUCAUAUUAGCAGUCUAAUUUAUCUUCUCAUUCCCCAUCUCUUUCACUUAAGGUUUUUAACUAAUUACUCUAAUAGUCUACUGUGAACUACAGUCAUUGAAAAAAUAGCCCUUGCACACCUACUUUGUGUAUGUUUGAAAAAGAAGAAAACAGCAUACUGGUGUUCUUGAAUACUUCACAAUUUGAUUCAAAUAUGAGCAUAUAAGAUCACCAGUGUGCUACGAGCAGCAGCAGAGUGCAGGGGACAGUUUUUGAGGAAGGGGGGAUGAGUUCAACACACUGGUGUGAUUGAAGGAGUGGGAAGGGAGGAAGAGUUCAGUGGUGUAAACUACUUAAGUACAAAUACUUUACAGUACUACUUACAGUGCCUUGCGAAAGUAUUCGGCCCCCUUGAACUUUGCGACCUGAUAGACUGAUAGAGACAUAGAGACAUAGAGACAACUGAUAGAGACAUACCCCAAGCAACUUACAGCUGUAAUCGCAGCAAAAGGUGGCGCUACAAAGUAUUAACUUAAGGGGGCUGAAUCAUUUUGCACGCCCAAUUUUUCCGUUUUUGAUUUGUUAAAAAAGUUUGAAAUAUCCAAUAAAUGUCGUUCCACUUCAUGAUUGUGUCCCACUUGUUGUUGAUUCUUCACAAAAAAAUACAGUAUUAUAUCUUUAUGUUUGAAGCCUGAAAUGUGGCAAAAGGUCGCAAAGUUCAAGGGGGCCAAAUACUUUCGCAAGGCACUGUAAGUAGUUUUUUGGGGGUGUCUGUACUUUACAUGACUAUUUAUAUUUUACUUCACUACAUUCCUAAUGAAGAUAAUGUACUUUUUACUCCAUACAUUUUCCCUGACACCCAAAAGUACUCGUUACAUUUUGAAUGCUUAACAGGACAGGAAAUGGUCCAAUUCACACACUUAUCAAGAGAACAUCCCUGUCAUCUCUACUACCUCUGGUGGACUCAUUAAACACAAAUGCUUUGGGGAAUGGAUAGUAGGGGAACGGGUACUGGAACAGUAAGGGAAUGGAUACUGGAACAGUAGGGGAGGGAUACUGGAACAGUAGGGGAAUGGAUACUGGAACAGUAGGGGGAGGGAUAUUGGAACAGGAGGGGUGAGGGAUACUGGAACAGUAGGGGGAGG
Long non-coding RNA from Oncorhynchus tshawytscha (Chinook salmon), 2431 nucleotides. NCBI's taxonomy places the organism in Eukaryota, Metazoa, Chordata, Actinopteri, Salmoniformes, Salmonidae. The record is from Ensembl.